AGUGAUAAUUGCCUAGGAGAUACACCUGUUUCUCAUGCCGAACACAGAAGUUAAGCCCUAGAACGCCGGAAGUAGUUGGGGGUUGCCCCCUGUGAGAUAAGGUAGUCGCUUAGCA
RNAcentral lists this ribosomal RNA (115 nucleotides) under Streptococcus agalactiae. Lineage: Bacteria; Bacillati; Bacillota; Bacilli; Lactobacillales; Streptococcaceae. The record is from RNAcentral.